GAUGAACGCUGGCGGCGUGCCUAAUACAUGCAAGUCGAGCGAACGGACGAGAAGCUUGCUUCUCUGAUGUUAGCGGCGGACGGGUGAGUAACACGUGGAUAACCUACCUAUAAGACUGGGAUAACUUCGGGAAACCGUAGCUAAUACCGGAUAAUAUUUUGAACCGCAUGGUUCAAAAGUGAAAGACGGUCUUGCUGUCACUUAUAGAUGGAUCCGCGCUGCAUUAGCUAGUUGGUAAGGUAACGGCUUACCAAGGCAACGAUGCAUAGCCGACCUGAGAGGGUGAUCGGCCACACUGGAACUGAGACACGGUCCAGACUCCUACGGGAGGCAGCAGUAGGGAAUCUUCCGCAAUGGGCGAAAGCCUGACGGAGCAACGCCGCGUGAGUGAUGACGGUCUUCGGAUCGUAAAACUCUGUUAUUAGGGAAGAACAUAUGUGUAAGUAACUGUGCACAUCUUGACGGUACCUAAUCAGAAAGCAACGGCUAACUACGUG
RNAcentral lists this ribosomal RNA (497 nucleotides) under uncultured bacterium. Its description in RNAcentral is "partial 16S ribosomal RNA". It matches the Rfam family "Bacterial small subunit ribosomal RNA", at positions 28 to 507 of the family's 1533-position model. The record is from RNAcentral.